GUGUAAGUAUGAACUAAUUCAAACGGUGAAACUGCGAAUGGCUCAUUAAAUUAGUUAUAGUUUGUUUGAUGGAAUCUACUACUUGGAUAACCGUAGUAAUUCUAGAGCUAAUUUAGCCAUUUCGCUUCCUUAUUGGCGUCCGCCAAAUAUAUAAAAACUCAACCUCCAUUAAGAAUGUGAGAGAAAAGUUUGCUUUUUGAAGGCCUAACAGGCUUUGAACAAGAAAACUAAAAAAAACCUAUUCAUAUCUUUUUGAUCAAUUGAGGAG
Molecule: non-coding RNA, 268 nt
Filed under: Punica granatum (pomegranate)
Lineage: Eukaryota; Viridiplantae; Streptophyta; Magnoliopsida; Myrtales; Lythraceae
Description: Eukaryotic small subunit ribosomal RNA
Rfam family: Eukaryotic small subunit ribosomal RNA
Source: Rfam by way of RNAcentral